This is a long non-coding RNA of Clupea harengus (Atlantic herring), 3682 nucleotides long. NCBI's taxonomy places the organism in Eukaryota, Metazoa, Chordata, Actinopteri, Clupeiformes, Clupeidae. The record is from Ensembl.
CAUACUGACUGGUGGCAUUACAACAUGGUUUGGCAACAGCCUUGCCCAGGACAGGAAGACACUACAAAGAGUGGUCAAAUCUGCACAGCGUAUUACAAGAACUGCAUUACCAUCCAUUCAGGACCUUUACAGCCAGCGCUGCAGGAGAAAGGCCAAGCGGAUCAUUUCUGACCCUAGUCUCCAGUAUUUCAUUUAUUUAUUCUCUAAGUUGAACGGACAUUGAGCACAAAGAAUUCCAUUACUGAUAAAUGCUGUUUAUGAGUAUAUGAUAAUAAACUUGAACUUGAACUUGAACUAAUGUUCACCUGGAGAAUUCCGCCUGGUUAUAUGAUAUGUCUGAACGUACAGUUACAAUCGCCUGCCUCCAACAGAAACGGAUAUAGAAUUUUGCUUCCGUAGCUUAGCUGGCAUGUAAACGGCCUGUUAGCAUUCUAGCUCUAGCGCCUAAAAGAUAUGAUUUAUUUUGAUUCGCCAGAUUGUGGCUAUAAAAAGCCUUUGGUAAUCGAUGUGUUUACUUAAGCUGACAUUGCGGUUGUUGUGAGAACACUUUUCAUCCCUAAUUGGGAUUUACAAACAGUGGAACCACUAGUGGAGCUUCAGUGGGUGCUGUGGGUGCUGUACACCUAUGGCCACACCCCACAGAUAGCAAAUACAUUCUGAAAUCAGCACUGUAAGCUAGUAUAAUCACUUUGAAAGAUGUGUUCAACACACGACUGAACCAUAUUUGCUGGUGGUACAUUUUUAAUCGAUAGUCCCCUCUAACUAUUUAAAUAUUCAGGUUCCUUUGUUGUCAGCUGUUGACUUUCCUCACCUCCAUCAGGCUCCUUGUGCUCCUUGUGACAACUGAUCUGAACAUCACUUCUGACAAUAGCAGCUAUGUAGCCUGGUGCUGAACACCAAAAUAAUCUUAAGGUAUUAACAAGAAUCAAAUGGUCUGUGUGUAGAACAUCUAUACAGUAUGAUGAUAUAUUGAUUGAAUGCUGCAUAUACCACUAAAACUGAAACAGUAAACAUGUAAACCAUUCUAAAUGCCAAUGCAACAGUGUUAAAUAGUUCCCACCUCCAUCAGCUGUGGGUGCCACAAAAGAUUCUGCUAGAUUCUCUUCAUGCAGUGGAUCUGUGUUAGCUUCAGGCUGCUUUUUGUCUUCUGCCAAAACAUUAUCACAAUAUCAGUUCACCAAUAUAAAUACCAGUUGUCCUCGGCUGAAACAGUGGUUGCUGUGAAUUAGGAAUGCCACCAUGCUCGGACUGGCAUUCAUUUGACUGAUUAGAACAUUUGACCCAGUGGAUAUAAAAGGCUGGCAAUUAUUGGAGACUUGGCCGUUAAUGAAAGUUUAGAAAUGAAUUGAAUUGAGCUGUAUGACAAUAUUAGAAAUAUAAUGGCUCCAUUGCUCUACUGCUAUGUAAAUAUUCAGGUUCCUUUGUUGUCUUACAUACCAGUGUUAUCCUCAAUUCCAUCACGCUCCUUGUGCUCUGAUGACACACAAACAACUGAUCUGAACAUCACUUCUGACAAAAGCAGUUAUGUAGCCUGGUGCUGAACACCAAAAUAAUCUUUAGCUCUUGACAAGAAUCAAAUGGUCUGUGUGUAGAACAUCUAUACAGUAUGAUGAGAUAUUGAUUGAAUGCUGCAUAUACUACUAAAACUGAAACAGCACACACGUAAACCAUUCUGAAUGCCAAUGCAACAGUGUUAAGUAGUUCCCACCUCCAUCAGCUGUGGACCCCGGAUCAUUUUCUGUUAGUUCCUCUUCAUGCACUGCAUCUGUGUUAGCUUCAGGGGGCUUAUUGUCAUCUGCCAAAACAUGAUCACAAUCUCAGUUCACCAAUAUAAAUACCAAUUAUCCUUGGCUGAAACAGUGGUUGCUCUGAAUUAGGAAUGCCACCAUGCUUAGACUGGCAUUCAUUUGACUGAUCAGAACAUUUGACCCAGUGGAUAUAAAAGGCUGGUGAUUAUUGGAGACUUGGCUGUUAUUGAAAGUUCACAAUACAUGAACAAAUUAAUUGAAAUGAGCUGUAUGGCAAUAUCAAAAUAUAGUUCCUCUUAGGGUGGUAGUGGAAUAGAGCUACAUUUUCACAUAAUUAUUUACCAGUUACACUCGGCAUCAGUGGAACAGCUUCAGGGCUCUUAUGUUCUCCUGAAGGCACCGGGGGAGUCACUGGGAGACACCAAUGUCAUGGUUACACAUUAACAACAUGAUCAUAUUGAUAAAGGUAUUCAGAGGAAUCAGCAGAAUCUGUAUGAUAAAAUCUUAAUUAAAAAACUGCACAUAGUACUGAUUAGAAACACACAGAACAUUCCAUGUAUGAAGGUGACAGUAUUGGGUGGCCCUCUUGGUAAGCUUGAGCCCAUUGUUAAUAUUCGUGAAUGAUAUAGAAACUAUAGACCCACUGUGAGUCUAGUAGCAGAGCUAAGAGCCCUCUCUUUCUCUCAGUUUUAUCAAAGUUUCUUUCAACGGGUGAAGCAAAACUGUACAUCGGCUACUGGCACUGGGCUCUGUAAAGCGCCUUGAGACAAUUUUAUUGUUUUGGCGCUAUAUAAAAAUAAAAUAAAAUGAAAUAAAAAAUAAAUUGCAUUGAAUUUAGUUACUCGUUAAGCUACUUAAUGCAUGGGCAGCUACUGGAAAAAUACGGACCCUCUCCAUCAUUAUGGUCAGCUAAGGUUAAUCAGAAGGUAUAAUACAGAAAUGACUUGCGUAAUUUACAAGCAGACAAACCAUGUCUCUGAACAGUAACUCAUCUAUGUUAUUCAUUCCAACUGUAUUUCAUAGGCAUCUGGUUAGCCUGCACAAUACUAUACUGUGGUUAAAUAGUGACAGCAUUUCACUAAAAGCAUCAGAUCUGCUAGCCAUAGCCUUAAACAACCAAUCAGGAUUAAAUAACUUAUACCAUGGAUUUGCGAUAUUAUUACUAUGUAAAUAUUCAGGUUCCUUUGUUGUCUUACAUACCAGUGUUUGUCAUUUCUUGUUUUUCCUCAUCUCCAUGCUUCUUGCGCUCUGAUGACAUACAAACAACUGAUCUGAACAUCACUUCUGACAAUAGCAGUUACGUAUAUAGCCUAGCCCUAGUGCCAAACACAUGUAUGUAACAUGUAAAAUACUGAUUAGAAGCAAUGUACAUACACAGAACAUUCUACGUAUGAAUGCAACAGUAUUGGGUGGCCCUCUUGGUAAGCUUGAGCCCGUUGUUAAUAUUAAUUUCCUACAUAUCAUUAUCUCUGUUGAAUACAAUCUCAGCCGUAGGACAUUCUUUUUUGUGAAAUGUGUCAUGAUAACCUUGAGUAACAAAUAAUCAUUGUCUCAGAUACACUAUACGGAUAUCAUGUAGGAUCAAAUGCCAAAUGUCAUUCUUUUUUUUGAAAUGUGUCAUGAUAAUCUAAUUGAGUAACAAAUCAUUGUCGUUGUCUCAGAUACACUAUACGGAUAUCAUGUAGGGUCAAAUGCCAAAUGUCACCCUUUUGAGUUCAAAAUGUAUAAGAAAUAAUUAAAUGGAAACACAAUAUCAGGCUUAUCGUUGUAUAACAAUUUUUAACAGUUGUGCUUGUUUGUAACAUAUCAUACAAGACUCUGCACACUACACAUGUACUAGGGGUGGGGGAAAAAUCGAUUUUUCGAUUUCUCUCGAUUCUCUCUAGAACGAUUCUGUCUCGAUUCAGAAAAGUUCAUAAUCGAUUUUUUAAUAA